Molecule: ribosomal RNA, 520 nt
Filed under: Fusarium oxysporum f. sp. vasinfectum
Lineage: Eukaryota; Fungi; Ascomycota; Sordariomycetes; Hypocreales; Nectriaceae
Description: eukaryotic LSU rRNA
Rfam family: 5.8S ribosomal RNA (bases 149-302)
Source: RNAcentral
UACCGAGUUUACAACUCCCAAACCCCUGUGAACAUACCUUACUUGUUGCCUCGGCGGAUCAGCCCGCUCCCAAACGGGACGGCCCGCCAGAGGACCCCUAAACUCUGUUUCUAUAUGUAACUUCUGAGUAAAACCAUAAAUAAAUCAAAACUUUCAACAACGGAUCUCUUGGUUCUGGCAUCGAUGAAGAACGCAGCAAAAUGCGAUAAGUAAUGUGAAUUGCAGAAUUCAGUGAAUCAUCGAAUCUUUGAACGCACAUUGCGCCCGCCAGUAUUCUGGCGGGCAUGCCUGUUCGAGCGUCAUUUCAACCCUCAAGCACAGCUUGGUGUUGGGACUCGCGUUAAUUCGCGUUCCUCAAAUUGAUUGGCGGUCACGUCGAGCUUCCAUAGCGUAGUAGUAAAACCCUCGUUACUGGUAAUCGUCGCGGCCACGCCGUUAAACCCCAACUUCUGAAUGUUGACCUCGGAUCAGGUAGGAAUACCCGCUGAACUUAAGCAUAUCAAAAAGGCGGGAGGAAGAA